UUGGGAGCUCACUGGCUUCGGAGUCGUAGGAACUCCGAAGUUAAGCGAGUUGGGGGCUAGAGCAAUUCCAGGAUGGGUGACCCACUGGGAAGUUGCUCGUGAGCUCCCAGA
Non-coding RNA from Prunus persica (peach), 111 nucleotides. NCBI's taxonomy places the organism in Eukaryota, Viridiplantae, Streptophyta, Magnoliopsida, Rosales, Rosaceae. The record is from Rfam.